This 459-nucleotide ribosomal RNA is filed under the name uncultured bacterium. RNAcentral's name for it is "partial 16S ribosomal RNA". It matches the Rfam family "Bacterial small subunit ribosomal RNA", at positions 28 to 507 of the family's 1533-position model. The record is from RNAcentral.
GAUGAACGCUGGCGGCGCGCCUAACACAUGCAAGUCGAACGGCACCCCUCCUCGGAGGGACGCGAGUGGCGAACGGCUGAGUAACACGUGGAGAACCUGCCCCCUCCCCCGGGAUAGCCGCCCGAAAGGACGGGUAAUACCGGAUACCCCGGGGUGCCGCAUGGCACCCCGGCUAAAGCCCCGACGGGAGGGGAUGGCUCCGCGGCCCAUCAGGUAGACGGCGGGGUGACGGCCCACCGUGCCGACAACGGGUAGCCGGGUUGAGAGACCGACCGGCCAGAUUGGGACUGAGACACGGCCCAGACUCCUACGGGAGGCAGCAGUGGGGAAUCUUGCGCAAUGGGGGGAACCCUGACGCAGCGACGCCGCGUGCGGGACGGAGGCCUUCGGGUCGUAAACCGCUUUCAGCAGGGAAGAGUCAAGACUGUACCUGCAGAAGAAGCCCCGGCUAACUACGUG